Molecule: unclassified non-coding RNA, 354 nt
Filed under: soil metagenome
Description: partial contains 5.8S ribosomal RNA, internal transcribed spacer 2, and large subunit ribosomal RNA
Rfam family: 5.8S ribosomal RNA (bases 1-120)
Source: RNAcentral
GAUGAAGAACGUAGCGAAAUGCGAUAAGUAAUGUGAAUUGCAGAAUUCAGUGAAUCAUCGAAUCUUUGAACGCACAUUGCGCCCGCCAGUAUUCUGGCGGGCAUGCCUGUUCGAGCGUCAUUUCAACCCUCAGGCCCCCAGUGCCUGUCGUUGGGGAUCGGCGCGGCGCCCUCCGGGGCGCUGCCGGCCCCGAAAUUCAGUGGCGGUCUCGCUGUAGCCCUCCUCCGCGUAGUAGCACAACCUCGCGGCCUGGAGCUCGGCGGUGGCCAUGCCGUAAAACACCCCACUUCUGAAAGUUGACCUCGGAUCAGGUAGGAAUACCCGCUGAACUUAAGCAUAUCAAUAAGCGGAGGA